GAUGAACGCUGGCGGCGUGCCUAAUACAUGCAAGUCGAGCGAACAGACGAGGAGCUUGCUCCUCUGACGUUAGCGGCGGACGGGUGAGUAACACGUGGAUAACCUACCUAUAAGACUGGGAUAACUUCGGGAAACCGGAGCGAAUACCGGAUAAUAUAUUGAACCGCAUGGUUCAAUAGUGAAAGACGGUUUUGCUGUCACUUAUAGAUGGAUCCGCGCCGCAUUAGCUAGUUGGUAAGGUAACGGCUUACCAAGGCGACGAUGCGUAGCCGACCUGAGAGGGUGCUCGGCCACACUGGGACUGAGACACGGUCCAGGCUCCUACGGGAGGCAGCAGUAGAGAAUCUUCCGCAAUGGGCGAAAGCCUGACAGAGCAACGCCGCGUGAGUGAUGAAGAUCUUCGGAUCGGAAAACUCUGUUAUGAGGGAAGAACAAAUGUGUAAGUAACUAUGCACGUCUUGACGGUACCUAAUCAGAAAGCCACGGCUAACUACGUG
Molecule: ribosomal RNA, 497 nt
Filed under: uncultured bacterium
Lineage: Bacteria
Description: partial 16S ribosomal RNA
Rfam family: Bacterial small subunit ribosomal RNA
Source: RNAcentral